Molecule: ribozyme, 75 nt
Filed under: unclassified sequences
Description: pistol ribozyme
Rfam family: Pistol ribozyme
Source: RNAcentral
ACUCGUCUGAGCGAGGUAAAAUUAGCUCAUUAGGCUCAGAGCGUCAGCCUGUAGAAAAUUGCAGGCUGGGUUGAG